Molecule: non-coding RNA, 46 nt
Organism: Trichobilharzia regenti
Lineage: Eukaryota; Metazoa; Platyhelminthes; Trematoda; Strigeidida; Schistosomatidae
Source: Rfam
GUACUGCUGAGGAGUCUCAAACUAGUACGAAACAGCUGUCCAGUAC